ACACACACACACACUGUCCUCCAAAGGCAGGGCUGCGCGCGGGUCUCGACCCAGGGCACAAAGCGCGUCUCUGCAGGGACCACUGCGAUUUCUCAGUGAGCUGCGGGGGCAGAAAUAAAGAGGCCAAGAGCAGCCUGUCCCCAGCUUGAAGAAUCCUGACACACUGCCGUUAAGGAAUCGCCAUACCAAACACCAGAGGUUUAUGUGGGCCAUGCGGCCUGGGGAAGUUGCCUUCUCAGAUGAGUGUGGCCCAGGCUCCAAGCACAGCAUCCCCUGAGACGGUGCCUAGAACUGACUCUUGUGGCAGGACUGGGCCAUCUGACAGCAAUCAUCUGCAAUCUGUCCUGAGCUACCUGCUGAAGAACUCUGCCACUUGGAACCCCAAUGUGGCCUUUCCUGCCUCUGCUCCUGAUACCAUCUGGCUCUGUGUCCCCACCCAAAUCUCAUCUUGACUUGUAAUCUGAAUUGUAAUUCCCAUAUGUUGGGGAGGGACCUGGUGGGAGGUGAUUGGAUCAUGGGGGUAGUUCCCCAUGCUGUUCUCACGAUAGUGAGUGAGUCCUCGUGAGAUCUGAUGGUUAUAUAAGGGGCUCUUGCCCCUUCACCUGGCAGUUCUCUCUCCUGCUGCCUUGUGAAGAAGGACAUAUUUGCUUCCCUUUCUGCCGUGAGUGUAAGUUUCCUGAAGCCUGUGGAACUGUGAGUCAAUGAAACCUCUUUCCUUUAUAAAUUACCCAGUCUUGGGUAUUUCUUUAUAGCAGUGUGAAAACAGACUAAUACAGUUUCCCAGACUUUUCAAACAGCCCUCUCUCCCAGCCGCACUGGUAGCCCUCAGGACAAAGAACAGGAGAAUUCUGCACAUUUCCAUUGGACUAGAAAUGACGUGAAGAAUAAUGCAGGAAACAAGAGGAUGAGAGAAGACUGUUCACUCAGUAACCCCUGGCUUUCCUGGCCUGAGUCACCCUGAAAGCUCUGGAACCCCACCCUUCCCUCCACUGUCCAUAGAUGGAGGAUUUGGGAUGUGCACCUUCACCGCAUGCCCGCUACAGUAAGCAUCCUUCUUCUGGUUGCUGUGUCAUUCAGCAAUUAUUAAGGAUCACACCUUGACUUUUCACCCACGUUAGUUAAAAAGAUAGAUCAAAGCAAUCGAGAAUGUGUGAUAGCCAUAGAGAGAAGAUAGCAGCAGGCAAUUUUUAAAAAUGAAUUUUGAUUUAAAUCCUGACAUACACCUCCACAACUGCCUGCACUUCCCACUUCCUAACAGUCGGAUCCAGGAGAAGGUUACAAGGACCGCUGGGAAAUAAUAGUUCUCCAGCUCCUUCAUGUGCAGGGCCUGAGCUACCCAGUAGGGCUUCUGUAAUAAAGAAGUGGUGUUUCCAUCUGAGUGCCGGAACCAACGGGAACAAGCCCCUGCGUGGGUGUGGGAGUCAUAGCUGGGCUCUUGGGCCGAAUUUACAUCCUUUGUCUGCAAUUAGCCCGUCGCUCCUUCUGAGAACACGAAUAGUUCACUCUGUCAUAAAUGGGAAUGCUGUUCUCACCCCAAUGGGAGGGAAGAUGCCCAGAAACAUGUUUAAUGGGUUUUAUUUGAUACUUAGAAACAUUGCAGUGAUUUUCUGUUUCCAAAAAGGACAUGUUGAUAACUUUUCCAUAUGGUAGUUUUCUGCUGUGACUGCUAGUGGCUUGGCAAUUUUGAAUAUUAAAUUCCGAACGGUAAGCAGAA
Molecule: long non-coding RNA, 1714 nt
Organism: Macaca fascicularis (crab-eating macaque)
Lineage: Eukaryota; Metazoa; Chordata; Mammalia; Primates; Cercopithecidae
Source: Ensembl